Molecule: ribosomal RNA, 932 nt
Filed under: uncultured archaeon
Lineage: Archaea
Description: bacterial SSU rRNA
Rfam family: Archaeal small subunit ribosomal RNA
Source: RNAcentral
GCAUCCGUAGCUGGCUAAGUUAGUCCCAUGGUAAAUCCACCGAAUUAAUCGUUUGAUGCGGGGGAUACUGCUUGGCUAGGGACGAGAGAGGCAGACGGUAUUCCCGGGGUAGGGGUGAAAUCCUAUAAUCCCGGGAAGACCACCAGUGGCGAAGGCUGUCUGCUAGAACGCGCCCGACGGUGAGGGAUGAAAGCUGGGGGAGCGAACCGGAUUAGAUACCCGGGUAGUCCCAGCUGUAAACGAUGCAGGCUAGGUGUUUGGACGGCCACGUGCCGUUCUAGUGCCGCAGGGAAGCUGUUAAGCCUGCCGCCUGGGGAGUACGAUCGCAAGAUUGAAACUUAAAGGAAUUGGCGGGGGAGCACCACAAGGGGUGAAGCUUGCGGUUUAAUUGGAGUCAACGCCGGAAAUCUCACCGGGAGCGACAGCAGUAUGAAGGCCAGAUUAAAGGUCUUGCCAGACGAGCUGAGAGGAGGUGCAUGGCCGUCGCCAGUUCGUGCCGUGAGGUGUCCUGUUAAGUCAGGCAACGAUCGAGACCCGCGUCCUCUGUUGCAACUAGCCUUGAGCUGGGCACACUGAGGAGACCGCCACUGAUAAAGUGGAGGAAGGAGCGGGCCACGGCAGGUCAGUAUGCCCCGAAUCUCCCGGGCCACACGCGAGCUGCAAUGGCAGGUACAAUGGGUUCCGACCUCGAAAGGGGAAGGCAAUCUCGAAAGCCUGCCGUAGUUGGGAUCGAGGGCUGCAACCCGCCCUCGUGAACAUGGAAUCCCUAGUAAUCGCGUGUCAUUAGCGCGCGGUGAAUACGUCCCUGCUCCUUGCACACACCGCCCGUCGUUCCAUCCGAGCGACUCUUGGGUGAGGCGCCGUCUUUCAUGGCGGUGUCGAAUCUAAGUUUCGUAAGGAGGGAAAAGUCGUAACAAGGUAACCGUAAAGGC